GUGCAUGAAGUUGGAAUCGCUAGUAAUCGCAGAUCAGCAUGCUGCGGUGAAUACGUUCCCGGGCCUUGUACACACCGCCCGUCACACCAUGGGAGUUGGUUUUACCCGAAGGUAGUGCGCUAACCGCAAGGAGGCAGCUAACCACGGUAGGGUCAGCGACUGGGGUGAAGUCGUAACAAGGUAGCCGUAGGGGAACCUGCGGCUGGAUCACCUCCUUU
This 218-nucleotide ribosomal RNA is filed under the name Agrobacterium salinitolerans. Its description in RNAcentral is "partial 16S ribosomal RNA". It matches the Rfam family "Bacterial small subunit ribosomal RNA", at positions 1316 to 1533 of the family's 1533-position model. The record is from RNAcentral. Lineage: Bacteria; Pseudomonadati; Pseudomonadota; Alphaproteobacteria; Hyphomicrobiales; Rhizobiaceae.